Molecule: ribosomal RNA, 253 nt
Filed under: uncultured bacterium
Lineage: Bacteria
Description: partial 16S ribosomal RNA
Rfam family: Bacterial small subunit ribosomal RNA
Source: RNAcentral
UACGUAGGGUGCGAGCGUUAAUCGGAAUUACUGGGCGUAAAGCGUGCGCAGGCGGUUGGUUAAGUCUGAUGUGAAAGCCCCGGGCUUAACCUGGGAAUGGCCGUUGAAACUGGCGAACUGGAGUGUGGCAGAGGGGGGUGGAAUUCCGCGUGUAGCAGUGAAAUGCGUAGAGAUGCGGAGGAACACCGAUGGCGAAGGCAGCCCCCUGGGUCAAGAUUGACGCUCAUGCACGAAAGCGUGGGGAGCAAACAGG